UACGUAGGGGGCGAGCGUUGUCCGGAUUUAUUGGGCGUAAAGAGCUCGUAGGCGGUUUGUUAAGUCGGGUGUGAAAUCUCCACGCUCAACGUGGAGGGGCCACUCGAUACUGCCAUGACUCGAGUCCGGUAGAGGAGUGUGGAAUUCCCGGUGUAGCGGUGAAAUGCGCAGAUAUCGGGGGGAACACCCGUAGCGAAGGCGGCACUCUGGGCCGGAACUGACGCUGAGGAGCGAAAGCGUGGGGAGCAAACAGG
RNAcentral lists this ribosomal RNA (254 nucleotides) under uncultured bacterium. RNAcentral describes it as "partial 16S ribosomal RNA". It matches the Rfam family "Bacterial small subunit ribosomal RNA", at positions 524 to 776 of the family's 1533-position model. The record is from RNAcentral.